Molecule: long non-coding RNA, 755 nt
Filed under: Oryza brachyantha (malo sina)
Lineage: Eukaryota; Viridiplantae; Streptophyta; Magnoliopsida; Poales; Poaceae
Description: long non-coding RNA (OBRA_LNC000430)
Source: RNAcentral
CCAUGUGAAACAAUCCACAUACUCUUUCAGUAACUUUAUUAAUUCUUCCCGGAAUUCCGGGGCCUAAUUUGCACUUAUGUAAGUCGACCUUGGCCUGUCUCCAGGACCUAUGUCUAUUUCUUCUAGUUUGUCAGCCGACAUAAAUCCCUGGCCUAGCUUACCAUCUGGGUCGUCUACUGCUCCGCUAAAAGUAUUUGUUGGGACUUCUGAUCGCGUAUCGGCUGGAUCCUAGUGUCCGAUACGCUCAGGAAUUCCCCCGACCAGGGUUUUCCGGAGAUGCACUCAUAGCCUUCUGCUUCCCAGGUGGGAAGGUCUGUUGUGGCUAUGUUGACCGAUCGGUCGGCUGGAAUUGUCUCCAUUUGAUCGCCGUGCCACUGUACCAGGCUUUGAUGCAUGGUGGAGGGGAUGCAGCAAUUGGCGUGGAUCCAAUCCCAGGCUGUAGGAUCCUUUCCCAUCGAUGACAAAGAAUGUGGUUGGCAGUGUUUUACUCCCGACCGUCAGUUCCACGUUUAGGCACCCUUAGCUUCUGAUGAGUUGCCCCCGAAGUCUUUGAGCAUCAUGUUAGUCUUGAUAAGAUCUUCGGGGGUUUUGCUCAGCUUUCGGUAGGUGAAGUAUGGCAUCGGAUUCACCGCUGCGCCGCCAUCGACCAACAUCUUCGCCAUCGGCUUUCCAUCGACGUGCCCCUGGAUAUAGAGUGGUUGAAGGUGCCGAUGGUCUUUUUCUGCCGGUUUCUCGAAGAGGGCUGGUUGUGAGGG